AAAUAAAUGGCACCCACCAAUUGUCUCUCUAAUCUCGAGAAAUCAACCAAAUGCGUCCCCAAAAAACGAUCCCAAAAUGUUGAUUUCUUCCAGAAAUUUGUAAGAAUCAAAGAGGAACUGUUGAAGAUGAUGAUGCCCCCAAGAACUAGGGCAUCAUAGAUUGGUGUCGAGGUGAUUACGCAGGGAAACGGGUCGGAUAUGGGAUAGAAUCGGGUCGUAAAUUGGGUUAACCUUAACCCCUGUUUCUGAGAAAUGGAGGAAACAGAAAUGGGGGGACGAUGAAG
This 284-nucleotide unclassified non-coding RNA is filed under the name Hevea brasiliensis (rubber tree). Lineage: Eukaryota; Viridiplantae; Streptophyta; Magnoliopsida; Malpighiales; Euphorbiaceae. The record is from RNAcentral.